CAGGAGCCCAUUUAAGCUCCUGUAUAGACGCUCCUUUUUAUUAGUCUUCUAACAACCCCACAGUAUCACCCCUUACCACAAGACCUCCCUUCAGCUUAAUCUCUCCCACUCUAGGUUCCCACGCCACCCCUAAUCCCGCUUGAAGCAGCCCUGAGAAACGAAAUAAACAGCCAUGUUGCUCACACAAAGCCUGUUUGGUGGUCUCUUCACACAGACGCGCAUGAAAUUUGGUAAUCAGUCGGCUUAGCGGCUGAAGACUGACACUGCCCGAUCGCCUCGGAAGCCCCCUAGACCAUCACGAACGCCGAGCUUUGGGUAACUCUCACAGUGAAAGGCCCCAGUCUCAUUCGACACCAGAGCAACUUAGACUGUGCCCCCAAAAAAACUUGUCAUCCCUACUAUCUUUUGUCUAGUCAUACUCCUAUUCAUCGUUCUCAACUACUCAUACAUGCCCUGCUCUUGUUUACACUGCCGGUUUACAUCGCCCAUUCUCUCUCCAUGUCACCCUCCAAAAAUUUUCGCCGCCCCAACACUUCAACACCAUUUUGUUUUAUUUUUCUUAUUAAUAUAAGAAGGCAGGAACUGUGACUUGCAGGUAUAUGCCCAGAUGGCCUGAAGUAACUGAAGAAUCACAAAAGAAGUGAAUAUGCCCUGCCCCGCCUUAACUGAUGACAUUCCACCACAAAAGAAGUGUAAAUGGCCGGUCCUUGCUUUAAGUGAUGAGGUUACCUUGUGAAAGUCCUUUACCUGGCUCAUCCUGGCUCAAAAAGCACCCCCACUGAGCACCUUGCGACCCCCCACUCCUGCCCGCCAGAGAACAGUGAUCUUCAACAUUAGAAGCUCUAAUGGGUUCUGCCCUGGUGAUGGCCCUUCCCCAGUCUGGACAACACACUUCAAGAGUAAAACUUUGCUGUAAAUAAAUGAAUCAACAAACAAAUGAAUAACAAGUGAACACAUGUGUACAGCAAAUGUUGAAACAGCCCUUUCAACUUUAAAGGUACCCCUGAAGGUCAUCUUCAGGGAGGAGUAACAGAAUGAGGGGUUCACAAAUGAAG
This 1055-nucleotide long non-coding RNA is filed under the name Homo sapiens (human). RNAcentral describes it as "non-protein coding lnc-CDH11-2:3". The record is from RNAcentral. Lineage: Eukaryota; Metazoa; Chordata; Mammalia; Primates; Hominidae.